CACAAACGGCCCUUUGGUUUAUCCCCCUGGGGAUUGACGGCACCUGCAUAAGAAGCACCGGAUAUCUCCGUGCCAGCAGCCGCGGUAAUACGGAGGGUGCGAGCGUUAAUCGGAAUUACUGGGCGUAAAGGGCGCGUAGGCGGCCGAUCAAGUCAGAUGUGAAAGCCCACGGCUUAACCGUGUGAAGUGCAUCUGAAACUGGUCGGCUUGAGUAUCGGAGAGGAAAGUGGAAUUCCCGGUGUAGAGGUGAAAUUCGUAGAUAUCGGGAGGAAUACCGGUGGCGAAGGCGACUUUCUGGACGAAUACUGACGCUGAGGCGCGAAAGCGUGGGGAGCAAACAGGAUUAGAUACCCUGGUAGUCCACAGCUGUAAACGAUGUGCACUAGAUGUGGGGAAGUGUUGACCUUUCCUGUGUCGCAGCUAACGCAUUAAGUGCACCGCCUGGGGAGUACGGCCGCAAGGUUAAAACUCAAA
This 474-nucleotide ribosomal RNA is filed under the name uncultured prokaryote. Its description in RNAcentral is "bacterial SSU rRNA". It matches the Rfam family "Bacterial small subunit ribosomal RNA", at positions 444 to 905 of the family's 1533-position model. The record is from RNAcentral.